GACGAACGCUGGCGGCGUGCUUAACACAUGCAAGUCGAACGAUGACGCCCGAGCUUGCUCGGUCUGAUUAGUGGCGAACGGGUGAGUAACACGUGAGCAACCUGCCCUUCACUCUGGGAUAACCUCGGGAAAUCGGGGCUAAUACCGGAUAUGAGCUCCUGCUGCAUGGCGGGGGUUGGAAAGUUUUUCGGUGAAGGAUGGGCUCGCGGCCUAUCAGUUUGUUGGUGGGGUAGUGGGUUACCAAGGCGAUGACGGGUAGCCGGCCUGAGAGGGCGACCGGCCACACUGGGACUGAGACACGGCCCAGACUCCUACGGGAGGCAGCAGUGGGGAAUAUUGCACAAUGGGCGAAAGCCUGAUGCAGCGACGCCGCGUGAGGGAUGACGGCCUUCGGGUUGUAAACCUCUUUCGGCAGGGAAGAAGCGAAAGUGACGGUACCUGCAGAAGAAGCGCCGGCUAACUACGUG
This 467-nucleotide ribosomal RNA is filed under the name uncultured bacterium. Its description in RNAcentral is "partial 16S ribosomal RNA". It matches the Rfam family "Bacterial small subunit ribosomal RNA", at positions 28 to 507 of the family's 1533-position model. The record is from RNAcentral.